Molecule: ribosomal RNA, 1535 nt
Filed under: Escherichia coli
Lineage: Bacteria; Pseudomonadati; Pseudomonadota; Gammaproteobacteria; Enterobacterales; Enterobacteriaceae
Description: bacterial SSU rRNA
Rfam family: Bacterial small subunit ribosomal RNA
Source: RNAcentral
AAAUUGAAGAGUUUGAUCAUGGCUCAGAUUGAACGCUGGCGGCAGGCCUAACACAUGCAAGUCGAACGGUAACAGGAAGCAGCUUGCUGCUUUGCUGACGAGUGGCGGACGGGUGAGUAAUGUCUGGGAAACUGCCUGAUGGAGGGGGAUAACUACUGGAAACGGUAGCUAAUACCGCAUAACGUCGCAAGACCAAAGAGGGGGACCUUAGGGCCUCUUGCCAUCGGAUGUGCCCAGAUGGGAUUAGCUAGUAGGUGGGGUAACGGCUCACCUAGGCGACGAUCCCUAGCUGGUCUGAGAGGAUGACCAGCCACACUGGAACUGAGACACGGUCCAGACUCCUACGGGAGGCAGCAGUGGGGAAUAUUGCACAAUGGGCGCAAGCCUGAUGCAGCCAUGCCGCGUGUAUGAAGAAGGCCUUCGGGUUGUAAAGUACUUUCAGCGGGGAGGAAGGGAGUAAAGUUAAUACCUUUGCUCAUUGACGUUACCCGCAGAAGAAGCACCGGCUAACUCCGUGCCAGCAGCCGCGGUAAUACGGAGGGUGCAAGCGUUAAUCGGAAUUACUGGGCGUAAAGCGCACGCAGGCGGUUUGUUAAGUCAGAUGUGAAAUCCCCGGGCUCAACCUGGGAACUGCAUCUGAUACUGGCAAGCUUGAGUCUCGUAGAGGGGGGUAGAAUUCCAGGUGUAGCGGUGAAAUGCGUAGAGAUCUGGAGGAAUACCGGUGGCGAAGGCGGCCCCCUGGACGAAGACUGACGCUCAGGUGCGAAAGCGUGGGGAGCAAACAGGAUUAGAUACCCUGGUAGUCCACGCCGUAAACGAUGUCGACUUGGAGGUUGUGCCCUUGAGGCGUGGCUUCCGGAGCUAACGCGUUAAGUCGACCGCCUGGGGAGUACGGCCGCAAGGUUAAAACUCAAAUGAAUUGACGGGGGCCCGCACAAGCGGUGGAGCAUGUGGUUUAAUUCGAUGCAACGCGAAGAACCUUACCUGGUCUUGACAUCCACGGAAGUUUUCAGAGAUGAGAAUGUGCCUUCGGGAACCGUGAGACAGGUGCUGCAUGGCUGUCGUCAGCUCGUGUUGUGAAAUGUUGGGUUAAGUCCCGCAACGAGCGCAACCCUUAUCCUUUGUUGCCAGCGGUCCGGCCGGGAACUCAAAGGAGACUGCCAGUGAUAAACUGGAGGAAGGUGGGGAUGACGUCAAGUCAUCAUGGCCCUUACGACCAGGGCUACACACGUGCUACAAUGGCGCAUACAAAGAGAAGCGACCUCGCGAGAGCAAGCGGACCUCAUAAAGUGCGUCGUAGUCCGGAUUGGAGUCUGCAACUCGACUCCAUGAAGUCGGAAUCGCUAGUAAUCGUGGAUCAGAAUGCCACGGUGAAUACGUUCCCGGGCCUUGUACACACCGCCCGUCACACCAUGGGAGUGGGUUGCAAAAGAAGUAGGUAGCUUAACCUUCGGGAGGGCGCUUACCACUUUGUGAUUCAUGACUGGGGUGAAGUCGUAACAAGGUAACCGUAGGGGAACCUGCGGUUGGAUCAC